CCUACGGGCGGCAGCAGUGGGGAAUAUUGGACAAUGGGGGGAACCCUGAUCCAGCCAUGCCGCGGGUGUGAAGAAGGCCCUCGGGUUGUAAAGCACUUUCAGUGAGGAAGAACGCCUGGUGGUUAAUACCCAUCAGGAAAGACAUCACUCACAGAAGAAGCACCGGCUAACUCCGUGCCAGCAGCCGCGGUAAUACGGAGGGUGCGAGCGUUAAUCGGAAUUACUGGGCGUAAAGCGCGCGUAGGUGGCUUGAUAAGCCGGUUGUGAAAGCCCCGGGCUCAACCUGGGAACGGCAUCCGGAACUGUCAAGCUAGAGUGUAGGAGAGGAAGGUAGAAUUCCCGGUGUAGCGGUGAAAUGCGUAGAGAUCGGGAGGAAUACCAGUGGCGAAGGCGGCCUUCUGGACUGACACUGACACUGAGGUGCGAAAGCGUGGGUAGCAAACAGGAUUAGAUACCCCGGUAGUC
Molecule: ribosomal RNA, 465 nt
Filed under: Vreelandella stevensii
Lineage: Bacteria; Pseudomonadati; Pseudomonadota; Gammaproteobacteria; Oceanospirillales; Halomonadaceae
Description: partial 16S ribosomal RNA
Rfam family: Bacterial small subunit ribosomal RNA
Source: RNAcentral